Molecule: ribosomal RNA, 1577 nt
Filed under: Hemigalus derbyanus (banded palm civet)
Lineage: Eukaryota; Metazoa; Chordata; Mammalia; Carnivora; Viverridae
Description: 16S ribosomal RNA
Rfam family: Bacterial large subunit ribosomal RNA
Source: RNAcentral
GCCAAAGCUAGCCCAAACACCCCUACAACUCAACUACAAUAUACAAAUAAAUCAAAACAUUUAAUUAAUUCUUAAAAGUAUAGGAGAUAGAAAUUUAACUUGGCGCUAUAGAGAUAGUACCGCAAGGGAAAGAUGAAAGAAGUAUUAAAAGCACAAUAUAGCAAAGAUUACCCCUUGUACCUUUUGCAUAAUGAGUUAGCUAGACAUAAUCUAACAAAGAGAACUUAAGCUAGAUACCCCGAAACCAGACGAGCUACCCAUGAACAAUCUAUUAUAGGAUGAACUCGUCUAUGUUGCAAAAUAGUGAGAUGAUUUAUAGGUAGAGGUGAAACGCCUAACGAGCCUGGUGAUAGCUGGUUGCCCAGAAUAGAAUUUUAGUUCGACUUUAAACUUACCUAAAAAACUNNNNNNNNNNNNNNNNNNNNNNNNNNNNNNNNNNNNNNNNNNNNNNNNNNNNNNNNNNNNNNUACAGCCUUUUUUAGAGAGUAAGCAUUAAAAUAACCAUAGUUGGCUUAAAAGCAGCCAUCAAUUAAGAAAGCGUUCAAGCUCAACAAUUAAAAUAACUUAAUACCAAAAACAUGCAACCAACUCCUAAUAUGAAUACUGGGCUAAUCUAUUCAACAAUAGAAGAAAUAAUGCUAAUAUGAGUAACAAGAAUUAUUUCUCCUUGCAUAAGCUUAUAUCAGCAACGGAUAACCACUGAUAGUUAACAACAAGAUAUCUACAACCCAACAAUAAACCAAGUAUCAAUUUAAUUGUUAACCCAACACAGGUAUGCAAUCAAGGAAAGAUUAAAAGAAGUAAAAGGAACUCGGCAAACAUAAACCCCGCCUGUUUACCAAAAACAUCACCUCUAGCAUAUCUAGUAUUAGAGGCACUGCCUGCCCAGUGACAUUAGUUAAACGGCCGCGGUAUCCUGACCGUGCAAAGGUAGCAUAAUCAUUUGUUCCUUAAAUAGGGACUUGUAUGAAUGGCCACACGAGGGUUUUACUGUCUCUUACUUCCGAUCCGUGAAAUUGACCUUCCCGUGAAGAGGCGGGAAUAUAAUAAUAAGACGAGAAGACCCUAUGGAGCUUUAAUUAACUAAUCUAAGGAUAUUAAUAAUCCACCGACAGGUAUAACAAAAAUCCACAAUAGAUUAGCAAUUUAGGUUGGGGUGACCUCGGAGUACAAAAUAACCUCCGAGUGAUUUAAAUCAAGACUUACCAGUCAAAAAUAAUACAUCAUUUAUUGAUCCAAAAAAUAAUUUGAUCAACGGAACAAGUUACCCUAGGGAUAACAGCGCAAUCCUAUUCUAGAGUCCAUAUCGACAAUAGGGUUUACGACCUCGAUGUUGGAUCAGGACAUCCCGAUGGUGCAGCAGCUAUCAAAGGUUCGUUUGUUCAACGAUUAAAGUCCUACGUGAUCUGAGUUCAGACCGGAGCAAUCCAGGUCGGUUUCUAUCUAUUAAACAAUUUCUCCCAGUACGAAAGGACAAGAGCAAUAAGGCCCACUUCAUCAAAAGCGCCUUCAACCUAAUAGAUGAUAUAAUCUUAAUCUAUAAAGUUUCCCCUACUCACCUACCCAAGAGAUAGGGU